Molecule: transfer RNA, 70 nt
Filed under: Vibrio lentus
Lineage: Bacteria; Pseudomonadati; Pseudomonadota; Gammaproteobacteria; Vibrionales; Vibrionaceae
Also listed under: 2 other names
Description: tRNA-Tyr
Rfam family: tRNA
About the family: Transfer RNA (tRNA) molecules are approximately 80 nucleotides in length. Their secondary structure includes four short double-helical elements and three loops (D, anti-codon, and T loops).
Source: RNAcentral
GGAGGGGUUCCCGAGUGGCCAAAGGGAGCAGACUGUAAAUCUGCCGGCUCCGCCUUCGAUGGUUCGAAUC